AAACUUUCAACAAUGGAUCUCUUGGCUCUCGCAUCGAUGAAGAACACAGCGAAUUGCGAUAAGUAGUAUGAAUUGCAAAUUCUGUGAAUCAUCGAAUCUUUGAACGCAUAUUGCGCUCUUUGGUACUCCGGAGAGCAUGCCUGUUUGAGGGUAAUUAACAUAAUCUUUAACCUUUUCUUGGUUAAA
Molecule: ribosomal RNA, 186 nt
Filed under: uncultured Archaeospora
Lineage: Eukaryota; Fungi; Glomeromycota; Glomeromycetes; Archaeosporales; Archaeosporaceae
Description: 5.8S ribosomal RNA
Rfam family: 5.8S ribosomal RNA (bases 2-154)
About the family: 5.8S ribosomal RNA (5.8S rRNA) is a component of the large subunit of the eukaryotic ribosome. It is transcribed by RNA polymerase I as part of the 45S precursor that also contains 18S and 28S rRNA. Functionally, it is thought that 5.8S rRNA may be involved in ribosome translocation.
Source: RNAcentral